GUUGUUGUGGCCUUGGUUAAGGCAAUGGACUAGAAAUCCAUUGGGGUUUUUCCCAGCCCUUCUUUGCAGGUUCAAAUCCUGCCAACAAUG
Molecule: transfer RNA, 90 nt
Filed under: Hippoglossus stenolepis (Pacific halibut)
Lineage: Eukaryota; Metazoa; Chordata; Actinopteri; Pleuronectiformes; Pleuronectidae
Description: tRNA-Ser
Rfam family: tRNA
About the family: Transfer RNA (tRNA) molecules are approximately 80 nucleotides in length. Their secondary structure includes four short double-helical elements and three loops (D, anti-codon, and T loops).
Source: RNAcentral